This is a long non-coding RNA of Saccostrea cuccullata (small rock oyster), 516 nucleotides long. RefSeq lists it as uncharacterized. The record is from RefSeq and is a predicted model, not a curated record. Lineage: Eukaryota; Metazoa; Mollusca; Bivalvia; Ostreida; Ostreidae. The transcript has 4 exons.
UCCUGAAGAAAACAUUCGUCCCGAAUGCAACUGGACUUGGGUCAACUGAAAACAUCACUUGCAGUUAUAGAAGUUGUAGCCUUCCCAAUACUAAAUCGGCUGGGAGAGAAACAUGCCUACCAAACAUCAUCUCACAUGGACUUGCGCCAGUUGACUCGUGCUGGGCUGACCUAUAAGCUAACAUGAGCAAGGGUGCCUUUUGUUUCGACCUAGUUUCAACAACUGAACACUUUUGUGUAGAUUCUUCAGAUAUGGGAGACAUGGCUGCUGAGAUACCUUCUGUGGGAGCAGGGACUUUCCCGUUAUCCGCAAUGGAUCCAGCGGGACUGAAAAUUUGCUGACCUAUGGGUCUGAAAGUGACUUCCCCGGACUCUUCUAAAUCUGACAUUUCUGUGACUUUUUUUUUUAAGUAUUUUAUUGUACACUAUGAAAUUUCAAUGAUUGUAAAAUUUUGAAUUUAAUAAAGCUAACCGAGAAUGUGGAAAAUUUCUUCCCAAAUAAAGGGACUUGAUCCCA